Long non-coding RNA from Gasterosteus aculeatus aculeatus (three-spined stickleback), 1087 nucleotides. NCBI's taxonomy places the organism in Eukaryota, Metazoa, Chordata, Actinopteri, Perciformes, Gasterosteidae. The record is from Ensembl.
GAGCAUUUUUGUUUGGUACUCCUACUUCCUUAACCCACUGUUGCUGUAGUUAUAAUGCUAUAAGUAGAAAAGGCGUGCGUCUCCUCUCUCUUUCCACUUGGAGACUUUAUUUACCGUCACCAACGUGACUCCACAGAUGACUCAUUCCCACAAAGCCCGGUUGAUGCGCACAGAGCUCAGAGUCUGAUCUUAACCUGCGACGAAGACUCAACUUGCAGGCGAGCUCCCUCUGGAUGUUUCUAGGUUAUCCAGCAGCGGCUCCUGGUCGCAGUUUGGGGGUAAUUCUCUAUAAAUGUUUAUGUUGACAUUCACCGGUUGGCGCAGGUCCUGCUCCUUUUCCAUCAUCUGAAACAAGUGAAGUACAUUUCCGCCUCUUGGGGCUGAAAUGAUCAGCUGGCCCCGUGGUUCACGGUUGUCCGUGCUCUGUAUUUCUUCGAGUUGAUUCUGACCCAUCGUGCAGGUACUUAUGUCAAAGCUACUUGGGAUCAUUCAGCUGCAGGGUCAGAUCUGACACAGCAGCGCCAUCUGUCUGGAUGUCGCACAGCAAAGUAUUUACUGGUGUCAUUCUGAAUAAAUCACCGACUGAGUUUUCAUCCAGUCUGGCAAAACUCCAGAGUGGAAGUGCUCCAAUAAACCAGUCGUUUAAUAGUAUAUAAGUACAUCUGUAAAAAAAAAAAAAAGUGAUUUCCAUUACUCACCAAUUUUUGUGCCUUCACGCUGACGCCGUCUGACACUUCUUCUCAUUCCGGCCGCCAAAAGUCCCCGCUCACACCCUGGAGUCUGCCGAAGGAACCAGCGGUUGCCGUGCAGAUGCACCUUACCUGGUGUCCUUCCAACCACUCUGCCACGUCUCCGCGUCACGGCAGACACCGGCUCCCAUUCUAGAAUCACAUCGUAUAAACUUGCAGGUGUGCCAUGUAUACUUUUAGCAUUGAUAUCUAUAACGUAACAUCUCCGCUGUGCCAUUGGUGGCUGAAAGAAGGUUUAGCCUCAGUUCUUCUUUGUUUUCAUCUUUGUUGAAUCAACAAGCUAUGAUGAAAUAGGCCUCAGACUCAAAUGCCGGCAAUGUACAAAAAGAUUUUACAAC